RNAcentral lists this ribosomal RNA (780 nucleotides) under uncultured Neocallimastigales. Its description in RNAcentral is "partial large subunit ribosomal RNA". It matches the Rfam family "Eukaryotic large subunit ribosomal RNA", at positions 19 to 649 of the family's 3401-position model. The record is from RNAcentral. Lineage: Eukaryota; Fungi; Neocallimastigomycota; Neocallimastigomycetes; Neocallimastigales.
CGAGCACGCGCGUGUGGCAUAUCAAUAAGCGGAGGAAAAGAAACUAACAAGGAUUCCCUUAGUAACGGCGAGUGAAGCGGGAAGAGCUCAAAUUUGAAAUCUUCAAGGUUUGACCUUGACGAAUUGUAGUUUAAAGAAGUGUUUUCGGUUAGAGGAGUUCGGUAAAAGUUCUUUGGAAUAGGACAUCAUAGAGGGUGAGAAUCCCGUAUUUGACCAUUACUUUCUAGCUUUGUGAUACACUUUCAAAGAGUCGGAUUGUUUGGGAAUGCAGUCCAAAAUGGGUGGUAAAUUUCAUCUAAAGCUAAAUAUUGGCGAGAGACCGAUAGCGAACAAGUACCGUGAGGGAAAGAUGAAAAGAACUUUGAAAAGAGAGUUAAACAGUACGUGAAAUUGUCAAAAGGGAAGCGUUUGACACCAGUGUUGUUUUUCCGAAAAUCAAUUACGAAUGUUUUGUUUUUAAGGAGUUAUGACUUCAUCGGCUUGCUUCUCUCUUUACUGAAACUUUCUUAAUGCACUUUUCGGUUAACAAGUCAACAUCAAUUUCUUUUGUUGUAAAAGGGUAUGAGGAAGGUGGCUUUCUUUUCGGAGAAAGUGUUUAUAGCCUUGUACCUCUAGCAAUCGGAGAGAUUGAGGUCUGCAGCGUAGAUCCUUCGGGGUUAGAUACAUUUGUGCUAAGUUGUAGCUUUUCAUAGACAACUUGUUGACUAUGUUUAGUCUUGUAGCUUACUCGCUUACUGCUAUUUUACCUACGCUUAGGAUGUUGAGUAGCGACAUACGCAC